GAGGAGGAGGAGAAUCUCCCCCUUUACCCCCUUUGGACUCUAGUCACGACUGCAGACCACAGGAGGCUCAGACAGAGAGAAGGUGAAGAAGAUGAAGAAGCUGGUGGUGUUUUCGCUGUGCCUGGUCCUGCUGACCUUCUACACAGAUGCCAACCCUAUCAUCAAAGAGCGCUUCGCUAAGCAGCUGCUCCGCAGCAAGAGGCAGGAGCGACCAAUGAAGGCUGGCCACCCCGAUGAGCCAAUGCGGGAGCAUCUUCUGCACAUGCAGGCUCUGGAUCAGAGGGCCCAGGAGACCAAUAUGGAGAACUGGCUGAACCCCCACUGCUACCCCCGCUGUGACAGGAACUACGGAUACCCUGUGUGAUCAGGUCACCACUAGUGUCUACUUUCAGGACCAACUCCAAAUGUUUGAUGCACAUGAAAGCACACAGUAAUUGACAGACCACAAAUGAGGACAUGGAUUCCAGACGGAAACAAUAAAAGGAUGAAAUACUCUCUCCUGAAAUGACCUCUUGAUGUCUGCUGACUAACUCAUAUAUAUAAUCUAAUAACAGCUGUGUAGUUUAGUGUCUUUAACAUCUCUAUUGUGUUCUACCAACAUUUAUGAAUAAAUCAUAACGCAUGAGA
Labrus mixtus (cuckoo wrasse) is the source of this 627-nucleotide RNA transcript. It is a transcript of the gene named chromosome 2 C17orf67 homolog, with no coding region annotated. The transcript has 4 exons. Lineage: Eukaryota; Metazoa; Chordata; Actinopteri; Labriformes; Labridae. The record is from RefSeq and is a predicted model, not a curated record.